CUCCUUAAAGUGGCGGUGACAUGUAGCUUUCAUAUUCAUAUCACAGCUUUGCUUUCAGGAGCG
Molecule: microRNA precursor, 63 nt
Filed under: Drosophila ananassae
Lineage: Eukaryota; Metazoa; Arthropoda; Insecta; Diptera; Drosophilidae
Description: Dan-Mir-2-P3a-v1_pre stem-loop
Source: RNAcentral